GUGCAAACUGUCGCAGUGCUAUUUGGUGAAUGUAGUGUGGUAGGCUUGCCUAUAUCUUUUUUCUUCUUUAAAGUCAGCUCGAAAACUAGUGUUAUAACAACGCUGAAUUCUUAAGUAUUCAAGCUGGUAGCAUUGUAAAACUGGCUACAAAAAACGAGGGGUUGAUAGAUGUGAUACUUUACCAAUUAAGAUUACUUUUGACAUUGCAUCAAGAAAAGGCUUGACGUGUGGGUCUAGUGAACACAUUCUGAAAAACAGAGUACAUAUUACCAGGCUGCAAAUUACGUGGCCCCAGUUGACCAGCAAAGAUCUGGAACCGCAUCAAAGUAAAAGAGUUCAUCAUCAGUAAAAGUAAAGACAGUCUCUACCGUAUCCUGCAUCCUUGAAGGCGAGGCAUUGUGUGGCAAGCAAAAACAAAUUUGACGUUAUAAUUUUUAAGGAAGGCAGAUUUAACAUGAGUUUUGUGGCUUUCCUUCUCAUUGUAAUCUUUAUUGUAGGCCUUACCGUUCUGAAGUGGCCUCAACUUUUGCAGUGGGCCAUGACAAGAACAUGGCCCGAAAUGAUUGUAUAUUCUUGUCUUUGUUUUGUUAUUUGGAAUGUUUUUAUAAUUUAUAUGUAUAGAUACUUUUUUUGAAAAUUAUCGUAGACCAAGCUUUUUUUUAUCAAUAACUUCAUUACACUAUUAUUAUUAAUAUUAAUAUGAUUAUAAUAAUGAAAUUACAAUGAUAAUUAUAGAAUAUUUUACAUUUUCUCACAAUUUGAUUCAUUGUAGUUAGGAUUAUGUACUUGAAUUGUUUUGGAAGAGGGCCUGUCAGCAUUGCAGUUAGAGCCAUCCUCUCAAUUAUUAUUGAAUAAUAUUACUUAUUUCUUAUUAUAAUUCCAUCAUUCUUGGGUUAAUUAGUUAUUGUCUAGUAUGUUGGGGCUGAAAUAUUUAAAAAGGUGAUAGGGACAAACUACAAAGGUUUGUCAAUAGGUGUGAGAAAGGAGGUAUUUGAGAGGAUUAUCUGUUCGGGUCUGCAGACAGUGCACUCAGUCUAGCGACUAGUUAAAAAGUCCGAUGAAUAAAUUGCUGACGAAAGUCAUCCGUUACAUUCGGCUAUUGCUGGUUGCUUUAUACAACGCAACGCAGUGCUAUCGGCUACAAACACGAAUAGAUAUUAUAACUCUUUCAUUCCGGGAGGAAUUUGCCUUCUUAAGAAUAGACAUUUUAGAUAGAUUUUUUUGAUGAAAUUUUCUUUCUUCGAGAGUGCAAGAGAGUACUAUAAUAUCCAAAUGUUGGAUGAAUAAAGAGAUGUAUGACUAUUAUAUAUAACCAAACAAUUAGGGAAAAUAAUCUAUAACUAGCAGUGUCAUUAUCGGGGUCAUUGUGCCUCUCAAUGAAUAAUGUUGCUAAUUAAACUGUCAGUACAUAAUUUCCAUUUAAAACUGAUAAUCUAUAACACCAAAAUAUCUGUUAAUCAGAGGCGGGUGUGGAGGGGGUCGGGCCGACCUCCACGACCCCCCCCCCCCUCCUUUUUUGGAAAGUAAAUUGGAAAAAGAAAAAAGAAAGAAAGAAAAAGAAAUAGUUGAUUGCCUAAAACGCCUCAGAUUUUCGGACGUUUUAAAAAUAAAAAAAUUAUCGAGGGCAUGUACUAGUACCCUUUUUCGGAUCCGUCCUCUUUUUUAAUUACAUGUCAUAUGUAAUUAGUUGCAUCGACAGUUAUUUAAACACUGAAUCAUUAGGUUUAUAUCUUUGGAUUUCACUUCAUAUACUAUUAGAGUGGAUGUUUGUGUGUAGGCCUACGUCUCGUGAAAGCAAGAACAACAUUCCUGUUACAAACUUCCAGUCGUAUCGUGUGACGAAUAAAAAGAUGGAAAUGUAUUUUACAGUGCAACCUAAUAAUUGCCUCUAUUUUGGCAAUUGAUGGCAUCAUGGAAGAAUAAAAUUUCAUUUAAAAAA
Anneissia japonica is the source of this 1939-nucleotide long non-coding RNA. RefSeq lists it as uncharacterized. Lineage: Eukaryota; Metazoa; Echinodermata; Crinoidea; Comatulida; Comatulidae. The transcript is spliced from 2 exons. The record is from RefSeq and is a predicted model, not a curated record.